UGUGUCACAACUGGAGGUCAGAACGUCUGGUCACCCAGAGCCAUGCUGUCUUCAUUCUUAAAGGUCCCGUUCACACAUUCUGUAAUUAUGCAGUGAAUGUCGGUGUUGCACAAAGCACCACACUCGGCACUGAAGGGGACGAAGGAAAGAAAUAGCUCAUUGCAGAGAACAGGCAGGAGAGGAAGGGAAUCUAUGAAAAAGAGAAGAUGAUGUGAAGUUGAUAAACCAAGCUCAAGCGAUCCAGCCCAGGUUCAAAUGGCAACUUACCGUGAGACUUUGGGCAAGUCAUUUUAACUGUUAGAACCUCGGUCUCUUCAUCUGUAACAUGGGCAUAUAAUAGAAUCUACCCGAUAGCGUUCUUGUAAAGAUUAAAUGAGGUAGUGCAUACAAGGUGCUUAGUACACUGCCUGGCAUAUUGUUAAAUUC
This is a non-coding RNA of Microcebus murinus (gray mouse lemur), 426 nucleotides long. NCBI's taxonomy places the organism in Eukaryota, Metazoa, Chordata, Mammalia, Primates, Cheirogaleidae. The record is from RefSeq and is a predicted model, not a curated record.